Molecule: transfer RNA, 68 nt
Filed under: Sphenodon punctatus (tuatara)
Lineage: Eukaryota; Metazoa; Chordata; Lepidosauria; Sphenodontia; Sphenodontidae
Description: tRNA-Glu
Source: RNAcentral
UAUUCUCACCAAGACUCAAACUCGGAAUAGCGGCUUGAAAAACCGCCGUUAUGUUUAACUAUAAAAAU